UUCCGGUUGAUCCUGCCGGACCCGACUGCUAUUUGGGUGAGGAUAAGCCAUGCGAGUUGAAUGGGAAACCUAAAGUUCCCAUGGCAAACUGCUCAGUAACACAUGAUCAACUUACCCUAUAGAGAAAAAUAACCUCGGGAAACUGAGGAUAAUGUUUCAUAGUUGAAUUGGCUUGGAAAAGUUUUUCGACGAAAGGGGUAAAAAAAAUGGUUUUUAUCUGCUAUAGGAUAGGAUCGUGUUCGAUUAUGGUUGUUGGUGAGGCAAUGGCUCACCAAGCCGAUAAUCGAUAGGGGCCGUGAGAGCGGGAGCCCCGAGAUGGGUACUGAGACAACGACCCAGGCCUUACGAGGCGCAGCAGGCGCGAAACCUCCGCAAUACACGAAAGUGUGACGGGGUUACCCAAAGUGUUCAAUUUUGAACUGUGGUAGGUGAGUAAUGUUCCCUACUAGAAAGGAGAGGGCAAGGCUGGUGCCAGCCGCCGCGGUAAAACCAGCUCUUCAAGUGGUCGGGAUAAUUAUUGGGCUUAAAGUGUCCGUAGCCGGUUUGGUAAGUUCCUGGUAAAAUCGGGUAGCUUAACUAUCUAUAUGCUAGGAAUACUACUAUACUAGAGGGCGGGAGAGGUCUGAGGUACCACAGGGGUAGGGGUGAAAUCUUAUAAUCCUUGUUGGACCACCAGUGGCGAAGGCGUCAGACUGGAACGCGCCUGACGGUGAGGGACGAAAGCCGGGGGAGCGAACCGGAUUAGAUACCCGGGUAGUCCUGGCCGUAAACGAUGCAUAAUAGGUGAUGGCACGGCCAUGAGCCGUGUCAGUGCCGUAAGGGAAACCGUUAAGUGUGCCGCCUGGGAAGUACGGUCGCAAGGCUAAAACUUAAAGGAAUUGGCGGGGGAGCACCACAAGGGGUGAAGCCUGCGGUUCAAUUGGAAUCAACGCCGG
This 935-nucleotide ribosomal RNA is filed under the name uncultured archaeon. RNAcentral's name for it is "bacterial SSU rRNA". It matches the Rfam family "Archaeal small subunit ribosomal RNA", at positions 1 to 921 of the family's 1478-position model. The record is from RNAcentral.